UGUUGAGGAAAAAGACGAUAUCGUUGGUAAAGGUUCUUUGGAAGCAUCAUGGAGUUGAGGAGGCUACUUGGGAGCUCGAACAGGAGAUUCGCUCCAAGUAUCCAGAGUUGUUUUCUCCCUCAGAGCAUUGUGAAGCAAAGUUGGAGAGCUCGUCAAGGCCUUCAAUUUGAUAGGAGCCAAUCAUCAUUUGGUGCACUCUAGGGAGUUCAAAAUUCUAGGGUUCUUGGGCUUGGAUUUGGGGAUUUUGGGAGUUUUCACUUCCAUUGAGGACAUGGAAAAGAGGUGGCGGACGACGAUCCACCACGAUUUUAGACGAGCACGGAGACCUAUUUUAUUUUUUUUGCUAUCUUUUGUAUUAAAACUCUCUAAUAUUUUGUAAAUGUAAUAUUAACUAACUCGUAAAACUUUAGUUUAAUUAGUAUAAUGUUGUAAGCCAUGGACUUUUAAAUUCUAACUACGCUUUUUGGACUGUAACUUGAUAUAACCAACGUAUGUUCCUUGUUGGAUGAGAUGGAGGAAUGGGAUUUUGUAUGUAUGUAGUCACUUUGGAGAUAUGAUAUAAUAUAUGUAUAUUGCGUUGGGACAAGAUAUGUUAGAUUUAAGGCCCAGGGAGGCCAUUGUAAUUAUUUUUUUUUUUUUGUAUUUCAACAGGUUGUUUAGAGACAUUUUAUGCGGAGGUUAUGCCGAAAUUUUUUAUAAAUUUUUAUUAUUAUUUUGGUAUCCCAUUUGGGUCGUUACAAUAUGGAUAGCUGCUCGAUUAUCACAAAACAACGGAAGAGGAGUUUGAACUCCCAAACCAAGUUCUUCAAGGAAAUAUUGUAGCCACGUCAACUCACUAGACGUAUGAGCCAUCGCCCUAUACUCA
Long non-coding RNA from Cornus florida, 865 nucleotides. RefSeq lists it as uncharacterized. The transcript has 3 exons. The record is from RefSeq and is a predicted model, not a curated record. NCBI's taxonomy places the organism in Eukaryota, Viridiplantae, Streptophyta, Magnoliopsida, Cornales, Cornaceae.